UACGUAGAAGACUAGUGUUAUUCAUCUUUAAUAGGUUUAAAAGGGUACCUAGACGGUAUAAUUAGUCUAAAAUAAGAUACGGUUAUACUAGAGUUAUAUAUGAGGAGGUGAGUAUUUAUGGAGUAGAGUUGAAAUUCUGUCAUCCCAUAACGACUGGUAACGGCGAAAGCAACCUUUUAUCUAAUAACUGACGUUGAGGGACGAAGGCUCGGGUAACGAACAGG
This 224-nucleotide ribosomal RNA is filed under the name uncultured bacterium. Its description in RNAcentral is "partial 16S ribosomal RNA". It matches the Rfam family "Bacterial small subunit ribosomal RNA", at positions 524 to 776 of the family's 1533-position model. The record is from RNAcentral.